This 73-nucleotide transfer RNA is filed under the name Allochromatium vinosum DSM 180. It matches the Rfam family "tRNA". From Rfam's summary of the family: Transfer RNA (tRNA) molecules are approximately 80 nucleotides in length. Their secondary structure includes four short double-helical elements and three loops (D, anti-codon, and T loops). Lineage: Bacteria; Pseudomonadati; Pseudomonadota; Gammaproteobacteria; Chromatiales; Chromatiaceae. The record is from Rfam by way of RNAcentral.
GCGCCCUUAGCUCAGUUGGUAGAGCAUCUGACUUUUAAUCAGGUGGUCGCUGGUUCGAGUCCAGCAGGGCGCA